RNAcentral lists this ribosomal RNA (472 nucleotides) under uncultured bacterium. RNAcentral describes it as "bacterial SSU rRNA". It matches the Rfam family "Bacterial small subunit ribosomal RNA", at positions 355 to 825 of the family's 1533-position model. The record is from RNAcentral.
UCGGGAAUUUUGGACAAUGGGCGAAAGCCUGAUCCAGCAAUGCCGCGUGCAGGAUGAAGGCCUUCGGGUUGUAAACUGCUUUUGUACGGAACGAAACGGCGAGCUCUAAUAAAGUUUGCUAAUGACGGUACCGUAAGAAUAAGCACCGGCUAACUACGUGCCAGCAGCCGCGGUAAUACGUAGGGUGCGAGCGUUAAUCGGAAUUACUGGGCGUAAAGCGUGCGCAGGCGGUUAUAUAAGACAGAUGUGAAAUCCCCGGGCUCAACCUGGGACCUGCAUUUGUGACUGUAUAGCUAGAGUACGGUAGAGGGGGAUGGAAUUCCGCGUGUAGCAGUGAAAUGCGUAGAUAUGCGGAGGAACACCGAUGGCGAAGGCAAUCCCCUGGACCUGUACUGACGCUCAUGCACGAAAGCGUGGGGAGCAAACAGGAUUAGAUACCCUAGUAGUCCCUGAGCGGGCUGGCAAGGCGCAU